This 497-nucleotide ribosomal RNA is filed under the name uncultured bacterium. RNAcentral's name for it is "partial 16S ribosomal RNA". It matches the Rfam family "Bacterial small subunit ribosomal RNA", at positions 28 to 507 of the family's 1533-position model. The record is from RNAcentral.
GACGAACGCUGGCGGCGUGCCUAAUACAUGCAAGUAGAACGCUGAAGAGAGGAGCUUGCUCUUCUUUGAUGAGUUGCGAACGGGUGAGUAACGCGUAGGUAACCUGCCUUGUAGCGGGGGAUAACUAUUGGAAACGAUAGCUAAUACCGCAUAACAAUGGAUGACACAUGUCAUUUAUUUGAAAGGGGCAAUUGCUCCACUACAAGAUGGACCUGCGUUGUAUUAGCUAGUAGGUGAGGUAAUGGCUCACCUAGGCGACGAUACAUAGCCGACCUGAGAGGGUGAUCGGCCACACUGGGACUGAGACACGGCCCAGACUCCUACGGGAGGCAGCAGUAGGGAAUCUUCGGCAAUGGGGGCAACCCUGACCGAGCAACGCCGCGUGAGUGAAGAAGGUUUUCGGAUCGUAAAGCUCUGUUGUAAGUCAAGAACGGGUGUGAGAGUGGAAAGUUCACACUGUGACGGUAGCUUACCAGAAAGGGACGGCUAACUACGUG